This is a non-coding RNA of Microcebus murinus (gray mouse lemur), 808 nucleotides long. The record is from RefSeq and is a predicted model, not a curated record. Lineage: Eukaryota; Metazoa; Chordata; Mammalia; Primates; Cheirogaleidae.
AUUCCACAGAGACUGAAGUUUGAAACACAAAAUACAAAACGUUGAGACAAAAUGUAACAAUGCUUGUGGGGGCAGGGGUUAAGAGAAGAGUAUGGAUUUUCUCAAGCAUGCUAAGAACCCAAAAACCUUAAAAUAUUUACCUUUGAACAAACACCGACAACCAAGCCGAGGACAAACGUGUAGAAAAUGGACCAAACUUGUGACACCCAAGAGGCCUCUGCAGCUCGGCCUCGGGUCCGUGAGAGGCCACACCGGCAGGCCCUUUAAGGCAAAAUGAAAAGCACGCAGCUUCCUUUCCAAGUUCUCUACUUUGCACUAAUAAAAGCACCUACCAUAAGGAUAUUUAUACAAAAAAUGUUUUCUGUCUGCCCGGGUGUGGGUCGACCCUUGCUUGCCCCUGUGACACCCUUAUGUGAGGAGACCCCGCGAGCCACGAGACCCGCAGCAGACUCGCGAUUCUUCCAAAGCGCAUGCGCCGGGUGCCGCAGCACGUGCCACGCACAGCAACACUGCGCAGGCGCUGUUGCACGCCCCAGUCAAGGCGUCUGGUUGGGACAGGAGCGCUCUCCGCAGGUUACGACCGUUGGCGGGUUGGGCGUUGGCCACCCCCAAAGCUUCUGACGAUGUAGCCGAGUGCGGGCAUCCUGGCCGUGUCCUUUGGGGCUAGGUCUUAGCUGGCAGCUGCCGGGGUGCCAAAGCCCCAGGAAGUACCAGAGGCACCUGUGGCGCAGGCCUGAUGGAGACCCAGCCCCCCCCUCACACUUGGGGGGCACUGAAAGUGAAACUGGCCAAACAGAUGGCCUUGGGG